RNAcentral lists this ribosomal RNA (626 nucleotides) under uncultured bacterium. RNAcentral describes it as "bacterial SSU rRNA". The stretch from base 1 to 519 matches the Rfam family "Bacterial small subunit ribosomal RNA", at positions 338 to 873 of the family's 1533-position model. The record is from RNAcentral.
CCUACGGGAGGCAGCAGUGGGGAAUCUUGCGCAAUGGGCGAAAGCCUGACGCAGCCAUGCCGCGUGAAUGAUGAAGGUCUUAGGAUUGUAAAAUUCUUUCACCGGGGACGAUAAUGACGGUACCCGGAGAAGAAGCCCCGGCUAACUUCGUGCCAGCAGCCGCGGUAAUACGAAGGGGGCUAGCGUUGCUCGGAAUUACUGGGCGUAAAGGGAGCGUAGGCGGAUAGUUUAGUCAGAGGUGAAAGCCCAGGGCUCAACCUUGGAAUUGCCUUUGAUACUGGCUAUCUUGAGUACGGAAGAGGUAUGUGGAACUCCGAGUGUAGAGGUGAAAUUCGUAGAUAUUCGGAAGAACACCAGUGGCGAAGGCGACAUACUGGUCCGUUACUGACGCUGAGGCUCGAAAGCGUGGGGAGCAAACAGGAUUAGAUACCCUGGUAGUCCACGCUGUAAACGAUGAGUGCUAGUUGUCGGCAUGCAUGCAUGUCGGUGGACGCAGCUAACGACAUUAAGUACACCUCCGCCCGUCGGGGAGGUACGGGUCCGGCGAACGAAUUAAAACUUAACGAAACGGAAAGUUAGUACGGCGUGAGACGUGCCGAACGGACGACCGACCGAGGGAGGUUAGG